CAUCGCCGCGGUAAUACGUAGGUCCCGAGCGUUGUCCGGAUUUAUUGGGCGUAAAGCGAGCGCAGGCGGUUAGAUAAGUCUGAAGUUAAAGGCUGUGGCUUAACCAUAGUAUGCUUUGGAAACUGUUUAACUUGAGUGCAGAAGGGGAGAGUGGAAUUCCAUGUGUAGCGGUGAAAUGCGUAGAUAUAUGGAGGAACACCGGUGGCGAAAGCGGCUCUCUGGUCUGUAACUGACGCUGAGGCUCGAAAGCGUGGGGAGCAAACAGGAUUAGAUACCCGGGUAGUCCCUGUCUCUUAUACAC
RNAcentral lists this ribosomal RNA (301 nucleotides) under uncultured bacterium. RNAcentral describes it as "partial 16S ribosomal RNA". It matches the Rfam family "Bacterial small subunit ribosomal RNA", at positions 512 to 809 of the family's 1533-position model. The record is from RNAcentral.